UAGUAGGUGGCUUAGUGGUAAGAGUUUGGGACUAAGGCUCCUUGUGGUCUUAGGUUCGAGCCCUGUAAUUGCUAA
RNAcentral lists this transfer RNA (75 nucleotides) under Salix viminalis (osier). Lineage: Eukaryota; Viridiplantae; Streptophyta; Magnoliopsida; Malpighiales; Salicaceae. The record is from RNAcentral.